GUGCCAGCAGCCGCGGUAAUACGUAGGGUCCGAGCGUUGUCCGGAGUUACUGGGCGUAAAGGGCGCGCAGGUGGCGGUGUUGGCCCGGCGUGAAAGCCCCCGGCUCAACCGGGGAGGGUCGUCGGGGACCGCACCGCUUGAGGGCGGUAGGGGCUGGUGGAAUGCCUGGUGUAGUGGUGAAAUGCGUAGAGAUCAGGCGGAACACCCGUAGCGAAGGCGGCCAGCUGGGCCGUCCCUGACACUGAGGCGCGAAGGCGUGGGGAGCGAACGGGAUUAGAAACCCUGGUAGUCC
This 292-nucleotide ribosomal RNA is filed under the name uncultured bacterium. RNAcentral's name for it is "partial 16S ribosomal RNA". It matches the Rfam family "Bacterial small subunit ribosomal RNA", at positions 505 to 796 of the family's 1533-position model. The record is from RNAcentral.